RNAcentral lists this transfer RNA (71 nucleotides) under Chalarodon madagascariensis (Madagascar iguana). RNAcentral describes it as "tRNA-Ser specifying UCN codons". It matches the Rfam family "tRNA". Rfam says of the family: Transfer RNA (tRNA) molecules are approximately 80 nucleotides in length. Lineage: Eukaryota; Metazoa; Chordata; Lepidosauria; Squamata. The record is from RNAcentral.
GAGAAAGAGACAGAAUGGUAAUGUGGUUGGCUUGAAACUAAUUCUAGGGGGUUCGAUUCCUUCCUUUCUUG